CCCGGUCCCAUUCCGAACCCGGAAGCUAAGCCUCUCAGCGCCGAUGGUACUGCCCUGGAGACGGGGUGGGAGAGUAGGACGCCGCCGGAC
Molecule: ribosomal RNA, 90 nt
Filed under: Sanguibacter hominis ATCC BAA-789
Lineage: Bacteria; Bacillati; Actinomycetota; Actinomycetes; Micrococcales; Sanguibacteraceae
Source: RNAcentral